ACGCUCGACACCUACGGAGGCAGCAGUGGGGAAUAUUGCACAAUGGGGGAAACCCUGAUGCAGCGACGCCGCGUGAGCGAAGAAGUAUCUCGGUAUGUAAAGCUCUAUCAGCAGGGAAGAAGAUGACGGUACCUGACUAAGAAGCACCGGCUAAAUACGUGCCAACAGCCGCGGUAAUCUGAGCGGGCGUGGCAAGGC
Molecule: ribosomal RNA, 198 nt
Filed under: uncultured bacterium
Lineage: Bacteria
Description: partial 16S ribosomal RNA
Rfam family: Bacterial small subunit ribosomal RNA
Source: RNAcentral